This 253-nucleotide ribosomal RNA is filed under the name uncultured bacterium. RNAcentral's name for it is "partial 16S ribosomal RNA". It matches the Rfam family "Bacterial small subunit ribosomal RNA", at positions 524 to 776 of the family's 1533-position model. The record is from RNAcentral.
UACGUAGGGUGCGAGCGUUAAUCGGAAUUACUGGGCGUAAAGCGUGCGUAGGCGGUUCGUUAAGUUCGUUGUGAAAGCCCCGGGCUCAACCUGGGAAUGGCAAUGGAAACUGGCGGGCUGGAGUAUGGCAGAGGGGGGUGGAAUUCCGCGUGUAGCAGUGAAAUGCGUAGAGAUGCAGAGGAACACCGAUGGCGAAGGCAGCCCCCUGGGCCAAUACUGACGCUCAGGCACGAAAGCGUGGGGAGCAAACAGG